Molecule: small RNA, 896 nt
Filed under: Mycoleptodiscus sp. 1 NV-2015
Lineage: Eukaryota; Fungi; Ascomycota; Dothideomycetes; Muyocopronales; Muyocopronaceae
Description: eukaryotic LSU rRNA
Rfam family: Eukaryotic large subunit ribosomal RNA
Source: RNAcentral
GCGGAGGAAAAGAAACCAACAGGGAUUGCCUUAGUAACGGCGAGUGAAGCGGCAACAGCUCAAAUUUGAAAUCUGGCGUCUUUGGCGUCCGAGUUGUAAUUUGCAGAGGAUGCUUCGGCGUUGGCGCCGCCCAAAGUUCCUUGGAACGGGACGUCGCAGAGGGUGAGAGCCCCGUGUUCGGGCGGAUGCCUUCGCCGUGUGAAGCUCCUUCGACGAGUCGAGUUGUUUGGGAAUGCAGCUCAAAACGGGAGGUAAAUUUCUUCCAAAGCUAAAUACCGGCCGGAGACCGAUAGUGCACAAGUAGAGUGAUCGAAAGAUGAAAAGCACUUUGGAAAGAGAGUCAAACAGCGCGUGAAAUUGUUAAAAGGGAAGCGCUUGCGGUCAGAACUUGGCCGCCGUUGCUCGGGGAGGUCUUGCGCCUCCCUCGCUCUUCGGCGGCUGGGCCAGCAUCGGUUCGGGCGGCUCGAGAAAGGUCGCGGGAAUGUAGCUCCCUCCGGGGAGUGUUAUAGCCCGCGGCGCAAUAGGGCCCGCCUGGACCGAGGUCUGCGCAUUUGCUCGGAUGCUGGCGUAAUGGCCCCAAGCGGCCCGUCUUGAAACACGGACCAAGGAGUCUAACAUUCGUGCGAGUGUUCGGGUGUCAAACCCGUGCGCGCAAUGAAAGUGAACGUAGGUGGGAACCCCUCGUGGGCGCACCAUCGACCGAUCCUGAUGUCUUCGGAUGGAUUUGAGUAUGAGCACGUAUGUUGGGACCCGAAAGAUGGUGAACUAUGCCUAAGCAGGGCGAAGCCAGAGGAAACUCUGGUGGAGGCUCGCAGCGGUUCUGACGUGCAAAUCGAUCGUCAAAUUUGGGUAUAGGGGCGAAAGACUAAUCGAACCAUCUAGUAGCUGGUUCCUGC